RNAcentral lists this long non-coding RNA (469 nucleotides) under Cucumis sativus (cucumber). RNAcentral describes it as "long non-coding RNA (CSAT_LNC001005)". Lineage: Eukaryota; Viridiplantae; Streptophyta; Magnoliopsida; Cucurbitales; Cucurbitaceae. The record is from RNAcentral.
AGUUGUAGAAAUCAUCAACUACUUUCAAUGGAGUUUUAUCAUCGCCUAAUGAUGGAACAGAUUGGUUAACAGACCAACGCCCAUUCCUCAUAAAAGCUGGACCAAACACCUUAAAGAAAUCUUGUGGAGCACAAUCAGUAGGAAUCUCAUCAUCAAACUCAUCUGUUGAGUCAUAAAUUCUUCUUUUGACAGGAUCAAUCAACACUUCAUACGCUUCUUGAAUAGAUUUAAAGUGACUUUCUAUUUCAUCCUUCUUUGCUUGUUUUGCAGCUUCAGUUUCCUCAGCAAGAAGAAGCGCAGCUUGUUUGUCAGGAUGAUACUUCAAAGCAGUUUCUCGAUAACUUUUUCUUAUCUGUUCCUCAGUCGCUAGAUAUCUUAAAUGACUCAAACCCAACAACGCAUAAUGAUCUUGUUGUGUGCUUCCACCAGAUUUCUUUUUACCUUUGCUGCUGUACGAAUCAAAUGAUGG